Rhincodon typus (whale shark) is the source of this 1721-nucleotide long non-coding RNA. RefSeq lists it as uncharacterized. The record is from RefSeq and is a predicted model, not a curated record. Lineage: Eukaryota; Metazoa; Chordata; Chondrichthyes; Orectolobiformes; Rhincodontidae. The transcript has 4 exons.
CUGGGCUUCCUGCACACAUCUGCCACAAGAAUCAUACCAUAGCCAGCAUCACACAGCCCCUAGAAGAUUUCACCUUGGUGACAUCCAAACAGAGUGUCAGCAGGUUACCAGAACUCACCACUCAGGCAGAUAUCACCCCAAGACCAGUAUCCCUUGAGUCUCUGCCCUCUCUGAACUGUUGCUGUUUACCUGGAGAAGCAUUGGCAUUCGGUAGCUGUCUAUGUCGCUGUGCCAGCAGUGAAGAAGGAUGGUGGAGAAGGGGGAAGUUGGCACCAUGUUUCUCAGAGACAGAUCAGAGGUAUGGGAUGGUGCAGUGAACAGAUCUUCUCCUCCCUGGAGGCCAUGCUGCCCAGAUGAUGCCAGGCUGGUUGCAGAUCACCACCCAGGUCGGUGUCAUCUCCAGGGUGUGGAGGACAGGACUGGAGGUCAAAGAUCUUCUGCAAUCUGCCAGGGAGAAGCUGAGACGAGAACAGUCAGUUGCCUGGUGACCUGACCGAGCUAGAUCUGUCUGAAUCCAAAGGAAAGUUAAACGACUGAAGGGGGAAGAUUAUGAAGUGGCUGUUUACUGUUCUAGACCACAGAGUGAACUGCGGCAGUAACAUAAUCAAACUGUUGCCAUCAAGAAUUAGAAACGCAGAGACAAUCCAAUGUACCCAAGUGUCCAACAAUGUCUUCAGCAGAAGAGUAAAGGGUUUUGUAAUCAUCAUCUGGACCCUUAUUUCACACUUAACCUGGUAGGAGGAAGGAAGUUGAUGGUAUGGAGAUAGAAUGGAUAUUUGAAGAUAUAAUAUGAACACUUGGUGGUGGGAUGGGCAGGACAUUAAAGCUGUUUUGGAACAGAACAAGAGGUUGAGAAAGAAAUUCUUCCAAAUAAUGCCAACAUGGCUUCCAUUGGAAGAAAUGCAUGAGAAUGAAAAGGAAUUGAAAUCUCUGAAGCUGGCUGCUCUGCAUAAACAUUGAAAACCAGAAGAAGUAAACGGUGACACGGAACAUGCUGUGUUGGAGAGUUGGGACAUGAGCUAAUGCCUAUGAUUCCCAACACAGUAGGUUUUUGAUUGCAUUGGAGCCAUCAAGAAGAGAUGAGAUCCAUCAGAUGGAAGGAGGAUUGUAGGAUGCAAUAACCUCAGGCUAUUCCUCUGAGCGGCACAGAUGUAACCUUUCAAGAUAUGCAGAUAUUUUCUAUUUCAUAACAUCUUAAAGGUCUUAUUUUUCUUUGCACCAUUACAAUAGCAAACCUGUGGGUGAAGUUAAAAAAGGCCGUAAAUUGAAAAGCCGUUUAACAAGCUGCAGUGUUCUGGGAACAAAUAAAGUAGCCAGAAAUACAGUAUUAUUCAUUCUAUUGAUGCAAUUGGUAUUUUCAUUGCCUGCAACAUUAAAAAUGAUCACAUACACACAUGAAAUACUAUAGAAUCUGUCUCAGCAAAAGCCUGCAAUUAUCAUUAAUUAUUUCCAUCCACAUGCUAAUGUCCAUCAGAUGUUAAUAUGCUUGGAGUUUUAAAAGAAAGCAAUUUUUAACCCUUUGUGCACUUGCAUCUCCAGAGUAUUUUAUUCUCACUGGGUGGUCACUUUCACCUUACACACAGUUGUACACAGUUGUACAUCAGAUUCAAUUUCACAGUGGUAAUAUUGUUGAGAAGCACAGUUAAUAUAAGAUCAAUAAACUAUCAAAAGCUACUGGACUUAUAGUUCAUGUACCAUAUACUAUGGUUUUGUACUCUAAA